AAACUAAACUAUUCUUUGUG
RNAcentral lists this transfer RNA (20 nucleotides) under Chanos chanos (milkfish). RNAcentral's name for it is "partial tRNA-Pro". The record is from RNAcentral. Lineage: Eukaryota; Metazoa; Chordata; Actinopteri; Gonorynchiformes; Chanidae.